This 492-nucleotide ribosomal RNA is filed under the name uncultured bacterium. RNAcentral describes it as "partial 16S ribosomal RNA". It matches the Rfam family "Bacterial small subunit ribosomal RNA", at positions 28 to 507 of the family's 1533-position model. The record is from RNAcentral.
GAUGAACGCUAGCUACAGGCUUAACACAUGCAAGUCGAGGGGAAACGACAUCGAAAGCUUGCUUUUGAUGGGCGUCGACCGGCGCACGGGUGAGUAACGCGUAUCCAACCUGCCCACCACUUGGGGAUAACCUUGCGAAAGUAAGACUAAUACCCAAUGAUAUCUCUAGAAGACAUCUGAAAGAGAUUAAAGAUUUAUCGGUGAUGGAUGGGGAUGCGUCUGAUUAGCUUGUUGGCGGGGUAACGGCCCACCAAGGCAACGAUCAGUAGGGGUUCUGAGAGGACGGUCCCCCACAUUGGAACUGAGACACGGGCCAAACUCCUACGGGAGGCAGCAGUGAGGAAUAUUGGUCAAGGGACGAGAGUCUGAACCAGCCAAGUAGCGUGCAGGAAGACGGCCCUAUGGGUUGUAAACUGCUUUUAUAAGGGAAUAAAGUGAGUCUCGUGAGACUUUUUGCAUGUACCUUAUGAAUAAGGACCGGCUAAUUCCGUG